RNAcentral lists this ribosomal RNA (486 nucleotides) under uncultured bacterium. RNAcentral's name for it is "partial 16S ribosomal RNA". It matches the Rfam family "Bacterial small subunit ribosomal RNA", at positions 30 to 507 of the family's 1533-position model. The record is from RNAcentral.
AUUGAACGCUGGCGGCAUGCCUUACACAUGCGAGUCGAACGGCAGCACGGGUGCUUGCACCUGUUGGCGAGUGGCGAACGGGUGAGUAAUACAUCGGAACAUGUCCUGUAGUUUGGGAUAGCCCGGCGAAAGCCGGAUUAAUACCGCAUACGAUCCACGGCUGAAAGCGGGGGACCUUCGGGCCUCGCCCUAUAGGGUUGGCCGAUGGCUGAUUAGCUAGUUGGUGGGGUAAAGGCCUACCAAGGCGACGAUCAGUAGCUGGUCUGAGAGGACGACCAGCCACACUGGGACUGAGACACGGUCCAGACUCCUACGGGAGGCAGCAGUGGGGAAUUUUGGACAAUGGGCGAAAGCCUGAUCCAGCAAUGCCGCGUGUGUGAAGAAGGCCUUCGGGUUGUAAAGCACUUUUGUCCGGAAAGAAAUCCUUGGCUCUAAUACAGUCGGGGGAUGACGGUACCGGAAGAAUAAGCACCGGCUAACUACGUG